CUUAUUUGAUUCAUUGUUUUUAUACAUAAAAAUCUUUCUCGGUGUGUAUUUGGGACUUUGGGGUGAUUGGGGAGUCCAAUGACCCAUUUAUUGUGUCUGACUUUCUAAUAAAUUGUAUAAUUUUAUUAAUAUCCUCCAGAAGAAGCUGGUGAUGCAGGCUGAGCCUGGAGUUAGGGGAGAUCCCAGUUCAAAUCCAAUCUCAGAUACUUCCUAAUUCUAUGAUCCUGGGCAAAUCCCUAUUGGCUCAAUUUCUUCAGCUGUGAAAUGGGGAUAAUAGAACCUUACACGCAUAUACAGAGAUGCGCUCUUGUUUCCUCUCAGGCUUUGAAAUGUAAGUUCUUUGCACACAUACUAAUACUUUUACAUGUCACACAAAUGUAUAUUAACUAAAUUUUUUCCUGGUGGUACAGGCUGUGAAAAUGCACUAUUUUCAACCGUUAGCUAGACAAGAAUGAAAAUUUAAUCACCGCAAAUCAAUCGACGUGGCAGCUCUUUGAGCUUGGCACUGGGUUCAGUACAACCUGAAGUCAGCCUCGCCCUGCCCCCACCCUCAAUCCUCGCAGGCCCUGUCACCGAGCCUUGCCUACUUACGCCUGAAAAACUACAAUUCCCAAGCAGGAACGAGCGACCUGCUCGUGAGUCCCCCGCCCCAGAACUACCUCACGCAGCAGAGGGCCAAGAGGCGGGAUUGUCGAUCUACGCUAGCGUCUCGCAAGUCCCUUCUCGUUCUGCGCAUGCGUUUUUCGAGUCACUUCCUCCUCCCUCCCUCUGUUAUCCGGUUUGACCUACUGUGGCCAGAGGAAAAAAAGAUGGCGGUGGCCGCUACCUCUGGGGCAGUCCAGCAGGUAAGAUCGGAAGGAACCUUGGAGGUCUAAGAGGCCAGCGUCCCUCAUUUUGCAGCUGAGCAAGAAACAAGCCUAGAAAGAUACGCCGAUUCACCACUUCAGUGGCCAGACCAUUUGCCAAACUUGUCAGGGUAUGUUUGUUUAAUUCCUCAGCUAUACUUGACUCUAAUCAAAAGUUUGUAACUGUUAACUGGACUGCAGUAUAAUACACUGAGUUAUAUUGAUUGGAUUUUGUCUAUAACCUUCUAUAUUAUAUUUGACACUUCAUAGACUGUAAUGUUCUUGAAGAAAAAAGUCACCCUGCUAGACAACUGCAAUUCAUAGGUAGAACCUAAUGGUUUUUCAACAAGUGUAUAGCAUUUUUCAAAUGUCUGAUUUUCAGUAUUUAUCUAUCAAAACAUCUGGGGUUUUGCAUGUUUAGUUUUAAAGUUUUUUACCACUCUGUCUUUUCCAUACACAAAUCCUGUUUACUCUCCAUAUUUUAAUUUUGCAAAUUCCCUAUUGAAUUUUUAAAGAAUUUGCCAAUCUUUGCCAUUGUUUAAUCUUUUUUAAAAUAUUAAGAGAAUUAUAGAUUCUGAGUUGGAAGGGACCUCAGAGUUUAUCUGGUUCAACUCAUACCUAAAAUGAAUUCCCUCUGCAACAUUCUCCAUUAAGUGAUCAUCCAUCCUUUGAGGGGAGAGCUCCCACUACCUCCUGAGAAGCCAAUUCCACUUUUCCAUAAUUAUAAUUACUACAAUGUAUUUCUGUAGAUGUAAAUAUAUAUUCCUUCUAAUUUCUCCUCAUUCCACCUACUUCUAUAUUUUGGGGCAAAACAGAUGAAGUAUAUUCCCUCUUCCCUGUGUCAGCUUUUCAAAUCAUCUUUAUUGCCCAGAAACUCUCAGUAAUGUGUAAUCUUAGAGAGUUCUUUAGGACACUGAGAGAUAAACUGAUUUGUCUAGGAUCAUACAGCCAAUGUGUGUCAGAGUCCACACCUGAAUCUUCUUGACUUUUAGUUUGAUUCUUCUUUCUAGGCCAGACGUCUCUAGUUCCUCCAACUGGUUCUCAAAGGAUAUUAUGGUUUAUCAUGAACAUCUAAUUUGAAUACCAUGCUUAAUAAGUGACCAGAAGAUAAAUAGGACAUAGAGUUAGGAUCAUUAUAUGAAAGGGGAGACUUUACAGGGCAGUGUCAUAAACUUGUUACAAAUAAUACUAUAAAAUAAAUCUAUCUGUAAAAAUAUUCA
Molecule: long non-coding RNA, 2065 nt
Organism: Monodelphis domestica (gray short-tailed opossum)
Lineage: Eukaryota; Metazoa; Chordata; Mammalia; Didelphimorphia; Didelphidae
Source: Ensembl